RNAcentral lists this ribosomal RNA (253 nucleotides) under uncultured bacterium. RNAcentral describes it as "partial 16S ribosomal RNA". It matches the Rfam family "Bacterial small subunit ribosomal RNA", at positions 524 to 776 of the family's 1533-position model. The record is from RNAcentral.
UACGAAGGGGGCAAGCGUUGUUCGGAAUUACUGGGCGUAAAGGGCGCGUAGGCGGCCUGCUAAGUCACACGUGAAAUCCCUCGGCUCAACCGGGGAACUGCGUGUGAUACUGGCGGGCUUGAAUUCGGGAGAGGGAUGUGGAAUUCCAGGUGUAGCGGUGAAAUGCGUAGAUAUCUGGAGGAACACCGGUGGCGAAGGCGGCAUCCUGGACCGAGAUUGACGCUGAGGCGCGAAAGCUAGGGGAGCAAACGGG